This 73-nucleotide transfer RNA is filed under the name Ursus americanus (American black bear). It matches the Rfam family "tRNA". From Rfam's summary of the family: Transfer RNA (tRNA) molecules are approximately 80 nucleotides in length. Their secondary structure includes four short double-helical elements and three loops (D, anti-codon, and T loops). Further hydrogen bonds mediate the characteristic L-shaped molecular structure. tRNAs have two regions of fundamental functional importance: the anti-codon, which is responsible for specific mRNA codon recognition, and the 3' end, to which the tRNAs corresponding amino acid is attached (by aminoacyl-tRNA synthetases). tRNAs cope with the degeneracy of the genetic code in two manners: having more than one tRNA (with a specific anti-codon) for a particular amino acid; and 'wobble' base-pairing, i.e. permitting non-standard base-pairing at the 3rd anti-codon position. The record is from Rfam by way of RNAcentral. Lineage: Eukaryota; Metazoa; Chordata; Mammalia; Carnivora; Ursidae. RNAcentral also lists the same sequence under 2 other names.
GCCUGGCUGGCUCAGUUGGUAGAGCACGUGACUCUUGAUCUCAGCAUGGUGAGUUCAAGCCUUAUGUUGGGUG